AGAGGAGGGGAGGGGCUAGGGGUCGGCGCAGGAGGCGAGACGAUGAUUACGAGCAAGCAGUGGAAAGGGAGGAGAGAGAGAAGGAGGGAUAGAGAGAGGGAGAGGGAUAGAGAAAGAGGGAGGAGAUUUAAAGAAGAGUGAAAGAGUGAAAAAUAGUGAGAGAGCGAGCGACAGAGAGAGAGCGAGUCCUCAGGGUAUCCUCUAGCUGUCCUCUAGGUAUCCUCUAGGUAUCCUCUAGGUGUCCUCUAGGUAUCCUCUAGCUGUCCUCUAGGUAUCCUCUAGGUAUCCUCUAGGUGUCCUCUAGGUAUCCUCUAGCUGUCCUCUAGGUGUCCUCUAGGUAUCCUCUAGGUGUCCUCUAGGUAUCCUCUAGGUAUCCUCUAGGUGUCCUCUACUCUAGGUGUUCUCUAGGUAUCCUUUAGCUGUCCUCUAGGUAUGCUCUAGGUAUCCUCUAGGUAUCCUCUAGGUAUCCUCUAGGUGUCCUCUACUCUAGGUGUUCUCUAGGUAUCCUUUAGCUGUCCUCUAGGUAUGCUCUAGCUGUCCUCUAGGUAUCCUCUAGGUAUCCUCUAGGUAUCCUCUAGGUGUCCUCUACUCUAGGUGUUCUCUAGGUAUCCUUUAGCUGUCCUCUAGGUAUGCUCUAGCUGUCCUCUAGGUAUCCUCUAGGUAUCCUCUAGGUAUCCUCUAGGUGUCCUCUACUCUAGGUGUUCUCUAGGUAUCCUUUAGGUGUUCUCUAGGUAUCCUUUAGCUGUCCUCUAGGUAUCCUCUAGCUGUCCUCUAGGUGUCCUCUAGCUGUGCUCUAGGUAUCCUCUAGCUGUUCUCUAGCUACCCUCUACUCUAGGUGUUCUCUAGGUAUCCUCUAGCUGUGCUCUAGGUAUCCUCUACUCUAGGUGUUCUCUAGGUAUCCUUUAGGUGUCCUCUAGGUAUCCUCUAGCUGUCCUCUAGGUAUCCUUUAGGUGUCCUCUAGGUAUCCUCUAGCUGUCCUCUAGGUAUCCUCUAGGUGUCCUCUAGCUGUCCUCUAGGUAUCCUCUAGCUGUCCUCUAGGUAUCCUCUAGCUGUCCUCUAGGUAUCCUCUAGCUGUCCUCUAGGUAUCCUCUAGCUGUUCUCUAGCUAUCCUCUACUCUAGCUGUCCUCUAGGUAUCCUCUAGCUGUGCUCUAGGUAUCCUCUAGCUGUCCUCUAGGUAUCCUCUAGCUGUGCUCUAGGUAUCCUCUAGCUGUGCUCUAGGUGUCCUCUAGCUAUCCUCUAGGUACUUUCCCCAGUCCAGCUCUCUUUCAUCAGUGCAGAUUAAGGAAAGGAGUUGAAUCAGAAGAAGAGACAAAACGGGUGUGUCUCAAAUGUAACCCUUUUCACUUCAUAGUGCCCUACUUUUGACCCCGAACUUUAACCUUGUUCAAAAGUUGUGCACUAUGAAUAAGGUCCCAUUUGGAACGCAGACAAUACUGUAUGUCUAGGCUAUUGACACGCACCUAGAGGGGGAUUGACAUAUAGAUAAUUGAAGAGGUUCAUCCACAGGAGGAUAAAACAGAGUGGUACAGGAGGAUAAAACAGAGCGGUACAGGAGGAUAAAACAGAGCGGUACAGGAGGAUAAAACAGAGCGGUACAGGAGGAUAAAACAGAGCGGUACAGGGGGAUAAAACAGAGCGGUACAGGAGGAUAAAACAGAGCGGUACAGGAGGAUAAAACAGAGCGGUACAGGAGGAUAAAACAGAGCGGUACAGGAGGAUAAAACAGAGCGGUAGAGGAGGAUAAAACAGAGCAGUACAGGAGGAUAAAACAGAGCGGUACAGGAGGAUAAAACAGAGCAGUACAGGAGGAUAAAACAAGGGUACAGGAGGAUAAAACAGAGCUGUACAGGAGGAAAGAGAAGAACGGGGGAUUUUACACAGAAAGAAAGAGGAUGAAGAGAGGACAGGAAUUCAGUUUCGAAGGUUUCUCAUAACACAACUGAAAAGGGAAGAAGUUAUUUACUCCACUUCAAAUAUGAACCAGUUUCCUUCCAAUGCAUGAUCACAUGGUGUGUGGCCCAAUUGUCACACUAUUCACUAUAUAGUGCACUCAUUUUGAACAGGGCCCAUUUGGGCUCUGGUCAAAAGUAGUGUACUAUAUAGGGAAUGGGGUGCCAUUUCGGACUCACCCGUACUGUAUAGACACCUGAAACAUAUGUGCAGUUAAGUACGUCACAGGCACUUUUGACAGGGCACAUACAGGGCUCUGAUCAAAAGUAGUGCACUAUAGAGGGAAUAAGGUGCCAUCUGGGACACAGCCUUUGUAUUUCAACAGUAUCACUGUAUUGUAUUGUUAGUCAGCUGUGUUGUCAUGGUUCCUAGCUCAGGUGUUUUGAGUGGCCUACAUUUUGUUGUUUUUUGUAAGGAAUUUAUUCAAUCAAUGAUUUUGAAAAAAUGUAAUUAUAGUCAUGAAUUAUAAUGAGAAUAUAUUGAUUGUAAUUGUUUUUUUUAUGACUGAAGUGAGUUUUGAAGUUGUUUUCUGAGUAUAAAGCUGGUUUUGAGCCUCUUGAUGUGGGUGUUCUGUUAUCAAAGACCAACUAAUAUCACCAUGGAAACUUAGUUCAUAAAAGUGAACACCUUAUAUGCUUAGUUAAAUAAAAAAAAGUCACUCCUACACUGUAAGAAAGCCGUAAACAUAUAUAAAAUUCACAAAAAAACAUUCACUUAUUUUAUAAGACUUGAUCUUUAUUUGGAUCCCCAUGAGCUGACGCCAUGACAACAGCUAAAUGUGUAUACAAGCAUACAGUCAACACACACACACACACAUACAUUUAAAGGUACACUGUGAGUGUAAAAUUUAUUUUUAACUCAAAUUUUGGUUUGAGAGGUGACUGUUUCAUAGACACAUAUGGUAUUAUAUGAAUCAAUUUUUUUCUUGUUAAACCACGCAGCCGUUAGUAGGCUAGUAAUAAAAGCUUUAAGUCA
RNAcentral lists this long non-coding RNA (2926 nucleotides) under Salmo salar (Atlantic salmon). RNAcentral describes it as "lncRNA (ENSSSAG00000102835.1)". The record is from RNAcentral. Lineage: Eukaryota; Metazoa; Chordata; Actinopteri; Salmoniformes; Salmonidae.